Molecule: ribosomal RNA, 472 nt
Filed under: Bacillus subtilis
Lineage: Bacteria; Bacillati; Bacillota; Bacilli; Caryophanales; Bacillaceae
Description: bacterial SSU rRNA
Source: RNAcentral
CCUACGGGGGGSSWGCAGUAGGGAAUCUUCCGCAAUGGACGAAAGUCUGACGGAGCAACGCCGCGUGAGUGAUGAAGGUUUUCGGAUCGUAAAGCUCUGUUGUUAGGGAAGAACAAGUACCGUUCGAAUAGGGCGGUACCUUGACGGUACCUAACCAGAAAGCCACGGCUAACUACGUGCCAGCAGCCGCGGUAAUACGUAGGUGGCAAGCGUUGUCCGGAAUUAUUGGGCGUAAAGGGCUCGCAGGCGGUUUCUUAAGUCUGAUGUGAAAGCCCCCGGCUCAACCGGGGAGGGUCAUUGGAAACUGGGGAACUUGAGUGCAGAAGAGGAGAGUGGAAUUCCACGUGUAGCGGUGAAAUGCGUAGAGAUGUGGAGGAACACCAGUGGCGAAGGCGACUCUCUGGUCUGUAACUGACGCUGAGGAGCGAAAGCGUGGGGAGCGAAACAGGAUUAGAUACCCCNCUGNAAUCCA